GUGCAAUGAUGCAUUUUAUUCAACACAUCAUUCUGAAAAGACGUGUGUGGAAAACUAAUGACUGAGCACA
This is a small nucleolar RNA of Choloepus hoffmanni (Hoffmann's two-fingered sloth), 70 nucleotides long. Its record names the gene SNORD63. It matches the Rfam family "Small nucleolar RNA SNORD63". Rfam says of the family: snoRNA U63 is found in both humans and mice. Lineage: Eukaryota; Metazoa; Chordata; Mammalia; Pilosa; Megalonychidae. The record is from Ensembl.